UGGGUGGAUUAGUGGCGAACGGGUGAGUAACACGUGAGUAACCUGCCCCUGACUCUGGGAUAAGCGUUGGAAACGACGUCUAAUACUGGAUACGACUGCCGGCCGCAUGGUCUGGUGGUGGAAAGAUUUUUUGGUUGGGGAUGGACUCGCGGCCUAUCAGCUUGUUGGUGAGGUAAUGGCUCACCAAGGCGACGACGGGUAGCCGGCCUGAGAGGGUGACCGGCCACACUGGGACUGAGACACGGCCCAGACUCCUACGGGAGGCAGCAGUGGGGAAUAUUGCACAAUGGGCGAAAGCCUGAUGCAGCAACGCCGCGUGAGGGAUGACGGCCUUCGGGUUGUAAACCUCUUUUAGUAGGGAAGAAGCGAAAGUGACGGUACCUGCAGAAAAAGCACCGGCUAACUACGUGCCAGCAGCCGCGGUAAUACGUAGGGUGCAAGCGUUGUCCGGAAUUAUUGGGCGUAAAG
Molecule: ribosomal RNA, 468 nt
Filed under: Curtobacterium oceanosedimentum
Lineage: Bacteria; Bacillati; Actinomycetota; Actinomycetes; Micrococcales; Microbacteriaceae
Description: bacterial SSU rRNA
Rfam family: Bacterial small subunit ribosomal RNA
Source: RNAcentral